CCUACGGGGGGCUGCAGUCGAGAAUCAUUCACAAUGGGGGAAACCCUGAUGGUGCGACGCCGCGUGGGGGAAUGAAGGUCUUCGGAUUGUAAACCCCUGUCAUGUGGGAGCAAAUUAAAAAGAUAGUACCACAAGAGGAAGAGACGGCUAACUCUGUGCCAGCAGCCGCGGUAAUACAGAGGUCUCAAGCGUUGUUCGGAAUCACUGGGCGUAAGGCGUGCGUAGGCUGUUUCGUAAGUCGUGUGUGAAAGGCGCGGGCUCAACCCGCGGACGGCACAUGAUACUGCGAGACUAGAGUAAUGGAGGGGGAACCGGAAUUCUCGGUGUAGCAGUGAAAUGCGUAGAUAUCGAGAGGAACACUCGUGGCGAAGGCGGGUUCCUGGACAUUAACUGACGCUGAGGCACGAAGGCCCGGGGAGCGAAAGGGAUUAGAUACCCGAGUAGUC
This 446-nucleotide ribosomal RNA is filed under the name uncultured bacterium. Its description in RNAcentral is "partial 16S ribosomal RNA". It matches the Rfam family "Bacterial small subunit ribosomal RNA", at positions 338 to 795 of the family's 1533-position model. The record is from RNAcentral.